This is a long non-coding RNA of Cryptomeria japonica (Japanese cedar), 313 nucleotides long. RefSeq lists it as uncharacterized. NCBI's taxonomy places the organism in Eukaryota, Viridiplantae, Streptophyta, Pinopsida, Cupressales, Cupressaceae. The transcript has 2 exons. The record is from RefSeq and is a predicted model, not a curated record.
CAGCUUUAAUUCUCCAUGCUUUGAAAAAACGCUUUCAUUUUCUUGCAGUGCUCAAGCGCCUACCGUGAAAACUGAGGAAUUUGAAUACAGAAGCUGACAACAAUCGGCCAUCAAUAGGCUGCAACAGUUGCAUAGUUUACAAUGCUAUUUGCAUACUUACAGUGUUUUAAUCGAGAAUGUGACCUAUUCAUCUUGUCUAAUUAAUCCCAUUAUCCUGCAUUUUAUAUGUUGUAUUCACUACUAUUGAAAUCCUCUUCACUAUGCUACAAUUUUAGAUAUUCACAAUAUAUCUCUACAACAAACGGUCCUAACA